RNAcentral lists this unclassified non-coding RNA (232 nucleotides) under Mycosphaerellaceae sp. RNAcentral's name for it is "partial contains 5.8S ribosomal RNA, internal transcribed spacer 2, and large subunit ribosomal RNA". Lineage: Eukaryota; Fungi; Ascomycota; Dothideomycetes; Mycosphaerellales; Mycosphaerellaceae. The record is from RNAcentral.
CGCACAUUGCGCCCCGUGGUAUUCCGCGGGGCAUGCCUGUUCGAGCGUCAUUUCACCACUCAAGCCUGGCUUGGUAUUGGGCGUCGCGAGUCCGCGCGCCUCAAAGUCUCCGGCUGAGCUGUCCGCCUCCCAGCGUUGUGAAUCUCAUUCGCUACGGAGCGCGAGCAGCCGCGGCCGUCAAACUCAUCUCAAGGUUGACCUCGGAUCAGGUAGGGAUACCCGCUGAACUUAA